GACGAACGCUGGCGGCGUGCUUAACACAUGCAAGUCGAACGGAAAGGCCCUGCUUUUGUGGGGUGCUCGAGUGGCGAGCGAGUGAGUCACACGUGAGUAACCUGCCCUUGCCUUUGGGAUAACUUCAGGAAACUGGGGCUACUACCGGAUAGGAGCUCCUGCUGCAUGGUGGGGGUUGGAAAGUUUCGGCGGUUGGGGAUGGACUCGCGGCUUAUCAGCUUGUUGGUGGGGUAGUGGCUUACCAAGGCUUUGACGGGUAGCCGGCCUGAGCGGGUGACCGGCCACAUUGGGACUGAGAUACGGCCCAGACUCCUACGGGAGGCAGCAGUGGGGAAUAUUGCACAAUGGGCGGAAGCCUGAUGCAGCAACGCCGCGUGCGGGAUGACGGCCUUCGGGUUGUAAACCGCUUUCGCCUGUGACGAAGCGUGAGUGACGGUAAUGGGUAAAGAAGCACCGGCUAACUACGUG
RNAcentral lists this ribosomal RNA (468 nucleotides) under uncultured bacterium. Its description in RNAcentral is "partial 16S ribosomal RNA". It matches the Rfam family "Bacterial small subunit ribosomal RNA", at positions 28 to 507 of the family's 1533-position model. The record is from RNAcentral.